Molecule: ribosomal RNA, 254 nt
Filed under: uncultured bacterium
Lineage: Bacteria
Description: partial 16S ribosomal RNA
Rfam family: Bacterial small subunit ribosomal RNA
Source: RNAcentral
UACGUAGGGUGCGAGCGUUGUCCGGAAUUAUUGGGCGUAAAGAGCUCGUAGGCGGCUUGUUGCGUCGGAUGUGAAAGCCCGGGGCUUAACCCCGGGUCUGCAUUCGAUACGGGCAGGCUGGAGUUCGGUAGGGGAGAUCGGAAUUCCUGGUGUAGCGGUGAAAUGACGCAGAUAUCAGGAGGAACACCGGUGGCGAAGGCGGAUCUCUGGGCCGAUACUGACGCUGAGGAGCGAAAGCGUGGGGAGCGAACAGG